GAACCUGUCUCAACAUCUGUCUAUAAGGAACAGAAUUAUGGGCUCUCACACCUAUCUUCUCAAGAAGAAAUGUCAGGCCUGUCAUUCCAGAUUGCUUCAAUGGAUGAAAACGGGACUCUCAAUCUGUGGGUAGCAGUUGAAUUACAAAAAGUGGAUUUGGCUGGUUCACAAAGUGAUUUAGGUUUAAUUCCUGGAGGGAAAGUAAAGUUAGUACAUAGCUCUACUGUUCAGUUGAAUAGCAGCCUUUUCCCAAAAGAUAUCCUAUGCCUGAGGAAGCCUCAGACACUGAAUAUUAAGUUUCUGCCUUCUAAUCCUAAUCAUUUCAUUGUUGGAACAGACAUUGGUGUGGUAAGUCAUGGUGCAAGACAUGAUUUAAGAGUACCUCCAAAGCUGUUCAAACCCCAGCAGGGUGGACCAAGAUCAAUAAGAGCUAAUGCAGUUGAUUUCUCCCCUUUUGGAAAGCCAAUAUUUUUGGUUGGCUGUUCAGAUGGAAGUAUUAGAUUGCACCAAAUGACUUCAGAGCAUCCCCUCAUACAGUGGAAUGACAGCACAAAUGGCCAGCCAGUUAUUGCCCUCCAGUGGGCUCUCACAAGACCUGCUGUGUUUUUCGCCCUGGAUGCAUCAUCUACUGUUUACAUUUGGGAUCUACUGGAAAACGACUUGUGUCCUGUAGCCAAACAAAUUAUCCAAUCAGAUAAGGUUAUGACUAUGGUUGUAUUGGGUGAACCGGAAAAAACAAAUGGUCUGUUGGGGAUCGCAUUGGCCAAACAAUCUGGAAUAAUAGACAUUCAGUAUGUAAAGAAGAGGUGGGCAUUACCUCAGUCAGAAGAGUCAGAAAAACUACAGUUGCUCUUGGAACAAUCCUUAUAAAGCAGAGAAAUUGUCUUUUUCUGCAUGUACAAAUACGGCUGGCUAUAUUUAGAAUUUUUCAUUUGAUUACUAUAAUAAAAAGAUUUAUAAUUUAAGAGCUUUUGCCUUU
This 979-nucleotide long non-coding RNA is filed under the name Chelonoidis abingdonii (Abingdon island giant tortoise). Its description in RNAcentral is "lncRNA (ENSCABG00000020262.1)". Lineage: Eukaryota; Metazoa; Chordata; Testudines; Testudinidae. The record is from RNAcentral.